This 687-nucleotide long non-coding RNA is filed under the name Coturnix japonica (Japanese quail). RNAcentral describes it as "lncRNA (ENSCJPG00005002667.1)". The record is from RNAcentral. Lineage: Eukaryota; Metazoa; Chordata; Aves; Galliformes; Phasianidae.
UGUAACCCUAUGGGACCAUGUAACCCUAUGGGACCAUGUAACCCUAUGGGACCCUAUAACUCUAUGGGGCCAUGUAACCCUAUGGGACCAUGUAACCCUAUGGGACCAUGUAACCCUAUGGGACCCUGUAACCCUAUGGGACCCUAUAACCCUAUGGGACCAUGUAACCCUAUGGGACCCUAUGGCACUAUGGGACCUCCCCAUAGCCUCCCCAUGUCCCCCCCAUACCCACCCCCCAUCCGCCCCAUAUCCCCUGUCCCACAGGCCGGUUCUGUGGGAACAAGGUCCCGGAUCCCAUCGCGUCCUCUGACAGCAGGCUGUGGAUUGAGUUCCGUAGCAGCAGCAACUGGGUCGGGAAGGGGUUCUUUGCUGUCUAUGAAGCCAUCUGCGGUGGGGAGGUGCACAAGGACAGCGGGCACAUCCAGUCCCCCAACUACCCCGACGAUUACCGGCCCAACAAGGUCUGUGUGUGGAGGAUCGAGGUGGCCGAGGGAUUCCACGUGGGGCUCAGCUUCCAGGCAUUCGAGGUGUGGAUGUGGGGCAGCUAUGGGGCAGCUAUGGGGCGGCUAUGGGGCGGCUAUGGGGCUGUAGGAUGGCUAUAAGUGCAGGCAGGAACAGCGCCCCCUAUGAGGGCAAAUAGGAACAGCGCCCCCUAUGGGAGGCAAUAAGCACAGCGCCCCCUAUGGG